Molecule: ribosomal RNA, 460 nt
Filed under: uncultured bacterium
Lineage: Bacteria
Description: bacterial SSU rRNA
Rfam family: Bacterial small subunit ribosomal RNA
Source: RNAcentral
UACGGAAGGCAGCAGUGGGGAAUAUUGCACAAUGGGCGAAAGCCUGAUGCAGCUAUGCCGCGUGUAUGAAGAAGGCCUUAGGGUUGUAAAGUACUUUCAUCGGGGAGGAAAAAACAAAACUAAUAAUUUUAUUUCUUGACGUUACCCGAAAAAGAAGCACCGGCUAACUCCGUGCCAGCAGCCGCGGUAAUACGGAGGGUGCUAGCGUUAAUCAGAAUUACUGGGCGUAAAGAGCACGUAGGUGGUUUUUUUAAGUCAGAUGUGAAAUCCCUGGGCUUAACCUGGAACUGCAUUUUGAAACUGAAAUACUAGAGUAUCGUAGAGGGAGGUAGAAUUCUAGGUGUAGCGGUGAAAUGCGUAGAUAUCUGGAGGAAUACCUGUGGCGAAAGCGGCCUCCUAAACGAAUACUGACACUGAGGUGCGAAAGCGUUGGGGAGCAAACAGGGAUUUAGAUACCCGU